UGAAUACGAUACGCUACGGCGUCGAAGCAGUCGAUGUCAUACUUCCAAGAAAAGCUUGCAAUGUCAUAAACAAAUAAUGCCUGUACCAUAACCGACACAGGUGGGUAGGUAGAGUAUACUAAGGGGCGCGAGAUAACUCUCUCUAAGGAACUCGGCAAAAUGACUCCGUAACUUCGGGAGAAGGAGUGCCUUAUUUAUAAGGUUGCAAUAACAAGAUCCAAGCAACUGUUUAUCAAAAACACAGGUCUCCGCUAAGUCGUAAGACGAUGUAUGGGGGCUGACGCCUGCCCAGUGCCAGAAGGUUAAAGAAGUUGGUUAGCAUCCGCGAAGCUGAUAACUGAAGCCCUGGUGAACGGCGGCCGUAACUAUAACGGUCCUAAGGUAGCGAAAUUCCUUGUCGGGUAAGUUCCGACCCGCACGAAAGGCGUAAUGAUUUGGAUACUGUCUCGGAGAGGGACUCGGUGAAAUAGACUUGUCUGUGAAGAUGCGGACUACCUGCACCUGGACAGAAAGACCCUAUGAAGCUUUACUGUAACUUGAAAUUGAAAUUGGACUUUAUUUGCGCAGUAUAGGUGGGAGGCGUUGAGAAUAUUCUUGCGGGAAUAUUGGAGCCAUCAGUGAGAUACCACUCUUGUAAUGUUAGAUUUCUAACUUUGCAUCAUUAUCUGGUCAAAGAACAGUUUCAGGCGGGCAGUUUGACUGGGGCGGUCGCCUCCCAAACGGUAACGGAGGCGUACAAAGGUUUCCUCUGAACGGGUAGAAAUCGUAUCUAGAGUGUAAAGGCAUAAGGAAGCUUGACUGUGAGACCUACAAGUCGAGCAGGGACGAAAGUCGGUCUUAGUGAUCUGACGGUGCUGAGUGGAAAGGCCGUCACUCAACGGAUAAAAGUUACUCUAGGGAUAACAGGCUGAUCUCCCCCAAGAGUUCACAUCGACGGGGAGGUUUGGCACCUCGAUGUCGGCUCAUCGCAUCCUGGGGCGGUAGUACGUCCCAAGGGUUGGGCUGUUCGCCCAUGAAAGCGGUACGCGAGCUGGGUUCAGAGCGUCGUGAGACAGUUCGGUCCAUAUCCGGUGUAGGCGUUAGAAUAUUGAGAGGAGCCUUCUUUAGUACGAGAGGACCGAGAAGGACAUACCUCUGGUGUACCAGUUAUCGUGCCAACGGUAAACGCUGGGUAGCUAUGUAUGGAGAGGAUAACCGCUGAAAGCAUCUAAGUGGGAAGCCCACCUCAAGAUAAGUAUUCUC
This 1242-nucleotide ribosomal RNA is filed under the name metagenome. Its description in RNAcentral is "bacterial LSU rRNA". It matches the Rfam family "Bacterial large subunit ribosomal RNA", at positions 1564 to 2815 of the family's 2925-position model. The record is from RNAcentral.